This 221-nucleotide unclassified non-coding RNA is filed under the name plant metagenome. RNAcentral describes it as "partial contains small subunit ribosomal RNA, internal transcribed spacer 1, and 5.8S ribosomal RNA". The record is from RNAcentral.
UUUCCGUUGGUGAACCAGCGGAAGGAUCAUUACUGAGAUCGUGCCCUUAACGGGGUAGACCUCCCACCCUGUGUUAUUACGAUUGUUGCUUUGGCAGGCCGCCCUCGGGCGCUCGGCUUCGGCUGAGGCGUGCCUGCCAGAAGACCCAAACCCUGUAUUUAGUGUUGUCCGAGUACUAUUUUAAUACGUUAAAACUUUCAACAACGGAUCUCUUGGUUCUG